GAGUUCAAGGAGCACAACCAAUUCAUUGCAAAGUGUAGACCAUCAAUCUAAUUCUAAAAAAUAUAGUGGUUGGCAUGAUUUCACCUCAUUUGUCUCAUCCAAAACAAGCACCAGGCCUACAAAAUCAGAUUUAGACAACUACUUGGAAAAUGGCUUAGAACUUUGUAGUGAAGGACAUAAGUUUGAUGUGAUAGCAUGGUGGAAAAACAAUCAAGCCAAAUACCGCAUACUUUCGAGAAUGGCAGUGGAUAUUUUAUCCAUCCCUGUUAGUACAGUUGCUUCAGAAUCCACUUUCAGUGCUGGAGAAAGAGUAGUUGAUAAAUACCGAUCAAAAUUAGGGGUUGACACUAUGCAAGCUCUCCUUUGUGGCUCCAACUGGGUUCGCUGCCACUAUGGCUUGAAGGGAAGGGUUAAGGAGGAGGAAGAUGAUGAAGAGGUGGAGAUUGUCCUACCGAUUACAUGAGAAAAUUUGAGGUUUGCUGCAUACUAUUUUGUACUAAAGAGUAGAGAUGGAAGAGUUUGAAGCAUUUGGAUUAUCAGAUAGAAAAAGGAAAAAUAGUUCUACCUUUUGUUGAGUUUUAAUUUUUAUUAUAUCUUGAAACUUCUU
Molecule: long non-coding RNA, 607 nt
Organism: Dendrobium catenatum
Lineage: Eukaryota; Viridiplantae; Streptophyta; Magnoliopsida; Asparagales; Orchidaceae
Exons: 3
Source: RefSeq, a predicted model, not a curated record